Molecule: transfer RNA, 83 nt
Filed under: Caerostris extrusa
Lineage: Eukaryota; Metazoa; Arthropoda; Arachnida; Araneae; Araneidae
Description: tRNA-Leu
Rfam family: tRNA
About the family: Transfer RNA (tRNA) molecules are approximately 80 nucleotides in length.
Source: RNAcentral
GUCAGGAUGGCCGAGUGGUCUAAGGCGCUGCGUUCAGGUCGCAGUCCACUUCUUUGGGCGUGGGUUCGAAUCCCACUUUGACA